UGGGGAGGCUUGCGGCUGCGGCCGCUGGCUUGAAGGAGCCCUUUUUAUGGCUUUGGGUUUUUUUUUCUCUCUAGAAAUGCAUCUGAUUUGGCAGAACUCUUUCCCUGUUGCUGGUGACUACUGAAAGACUGACCCCCAGUCAAUACUUCUAUUGAUAACAGGGAUAAGAGGGAAACCCUCUAAUUUUGCCUAAGUGUUUUGAUAAUCAGCAGUAAUGGGAAAAAGCAGAAGAACGUCCAUCAUCGCUUUAAUGAGAAACCAACUUGCAUAGAAGUCAACCAUUGUACCACAGGGCAGUCUGUAGAGCAGUUGGACAUCAGGGAUGGAUUUGCCUGGUCAAAGGUGGAAGCCUUCUCCAUAUCUAAUAACCUAAACACAUGGAGAGAAACAAGAGCUUGUGGGCUGUGUUCAUCUUACCCUAAGGUCAAUGGCAAGAGCCACAAGUUUGAGUGCCUACUUUUCUGUCAAUUAGCACAGGUGCCUAGGCUGACUAAAUAAAGCCACUUGAAGAGCUACUGUAGGUAGGACCGAUGCUCCUGUCUGCUGCGGGGAACUGCUUCCUUCUGUGGAUGCAGCUACAAGGGGGGACCUGAAAGAAACAAAUGGCUGAGAAUGUCAACCUGAUGCUGAAAGCAGCUGUGAAAAAUCCUGGUAAAGGAGGAACAGUUGCUUUAUAUCACUAUUUUUGGAACCUAGAAGACCAUGGUACGUUCCUGGCUGUGUUUCUGCUCACUGUG
This 737-nucleotide long non-coding RNA is filed under the name Falco tinnunculus (common kestrel). RNAcentral describes it as "lncRNA (ENSFTIG00000011736.1)". The record is from RNAcentral. Lineage: Eukaryota; Metazoa; Chordata; Aves; Falconiformes; Falconidae.